Molecule: long non-coding RNA, 732 nt
Organism: Myotis lucifugus (little brown bat)
Lineage: Eukaryota; Metazoa; Chordata; Mammalia; Chiroptera; Vespertilionidae
Exons: 5
Source: RefSeq, a predicted model, not a curated record
UCGUCUGCAACAUUUCUGGAGAAACAUAAUACAGUGGUCAUUUUGAAGGUUUUCCUAAUUAUUGUGUAUAAAAUUAGUAUCAGUCUAUAAAACUAUUUCUCUUUUCUUGUUUUAGUGAUGAUCGCAGUGUCUCUUCAGAAGAAAAAGAUUGCCCUAGUUCCAACCUAGAUACGUCAAAGGACUCUAAAUCAGAAGCCUCAGCCCCCUUCGUGGUGGACUUGGGAAGUGACUAACAGGAGAAAUCAGAGAGGACAGCAGCUCCGAGAGCAGUUCUGAAAGUGACUCCGAUAAUGAGGAGCCAAAAACAAGUAAGUACAUCCUUCCUCUGAAUUUUCACGUUUGUUGUUGAAAGGAAGACAAAGAAGGUUAGCCCUCGGGGUUUUUAAGCGGCAAAUGGUUUGUUCAUGAUCUUCUUCUGUGCAAAACUGAGUUAGACAUGAAGCACCUUCUAAGCAUUUUGAACACGGGAGCUCGUGUUCUCUGCACGGGCACCGAUUGGGGUUCUGCUCUCACGGUUUCCCCGAGGAGAGAAGAAUCAGGCCGAACCCCAUAUGCAGUGUGGCCACAGCGGUGCCGGCUUCCUUCCUGGUGGUCUCUGCUCAGGGAUGAUCGCAGGGUAAACACGCUGCUGCCGAAAGCGGGGCGCCCCUUGUGGUCUGCAGUUCCUGGCUUGCUGUUCUGGCGCUUUGUGAGCAACUUGAGUCUGAAACCACUUUUAAGGACAUAGAUUCU